GCUGGAGUGCAGUGGUGUGAUCUUGGCUCGCUGCAACCUCUGCCUCCCGGGUUCAAGUGAUUCUCAUGCCUCAGCCUCCCGAGUAGCUGGGAUUAUAGGCACCUGCCACCAUUCCCGGCAGGCUGGCAGCAGACAAACGAUGCAGGCAGGCAGUGAGACUCAGAUUGGGUCCUCCUGUCGGAACAGCUGGGAUAUGAUGUCCAUGCCCUCUCCCAGGACCCAGGUGGAACUUGAAUACUGAUUCAUCAUACUCACUUUUCAUUUGGAGAGUGAAUUUUGGACUGAAAUAAAGGGAGAUGUUCAGCCUCAGGUGUAGAAGCAGUGAGACAAUUUCCCACCACGGAGGAAGAUGAAGAGCAGGAGAGGAGAGGCUGGCGGCUCCCAGGAGCAGAUCACCUGCCCCCACUGCAAGGCCCCCGUGUGCUCAAUAAACUGACCCUUGC
This 443-nucleotide long non-coding RNA is filed under the name Homo sapiens (human). Its description in RNAcentral is "HSALNT0340583". The record is from RNAcentral. Lineage: Eukaryota; Metazoa; Chordata; Mammalia; Primates; Hominidae.